RNAcentral lists this ribosomal RNA (441 nucleotides) under Staphylococcus aureus. RNAcentral's name for it is "bacterial SSU rRNA". It matches the Rfam family "Bacterial small subunit ribosomal RNA", at positions 332 to 767 of the family's 1533-position model. The record is from RNAcentral. Lineage: Bacteria; Bacillati; Bacillota; Bacilli; Caryophanales; Staphylococcaceae.
CCUACUCCUACGGGAGGCAGCAGUAGGGAAUCUUCCGCAAUGGGCGAAAGCCUGACGGAGCAACGCCGCGUGAGUGAUGAAGGUCUUCGGAUCGUAAAACUCUGUUAUUAGGGAAGAACAUAUGUGUAAGUAACUGUGCACAUCUUGACGGUACCUAAUCAGAAAGCCACGGCUAACUACGUGCCAGCAGCCGCGGUAAUACGUAGGUGGCAAGCGUUAUCCGGAAUUAUUGGGCGUAAAGCGCGCGUAGGCGGUUUUUUAAGUCUGAUGUGAAAGCCCACGGCUCAACCGUGGAGGGUCAUUGGAAACUGGAAAACUUGAGUGCAGAAGAGGAAAGUGGAAUUCCAUGUGUAGCGGUGAAAUGCGCAGAGAUAUGGAGGAACACCAGUGGCGAAGGCGACUUUCUGGUCUGUAACUGACGCUGAGGCGAAAGCAUUACAC